Non-coding RNA from Ixodes scapularis (black-legged tick), 186 nucleotides. Lineage: Eukaryota; Metazoa; Arthropoda; Arachnida; Ixodida; Ixodidae. The record is from Rfam.
AAACCUUUAAAGCUGUAACCUAGAAAAAUGAAAUACAAUCUGUUCUUAUGAGCUUGAUAUCUGAUAUGGGUCUCAUUGGCCCUAGAUAUUAAACAUAUUUUUGUAAAUGGUGUUUCUACGGAGCUUGCCUUGGGGUCACCAGGGUUAGCCUGGGAUUUCACUGCCACCGGGAUAGGCCCAUUCUCC